Molecule: ribosomal RNA, 365 nt
Filed under: uncultured eukaryote
Lineage: Eukaryota
Description: partial 18S ribosomal RNA
Rfam family: Eukaryotic small subunit ribosomal RNA
Source: RNAcentral
CAAUAGCGUAUAUUUAAGUUGUUGCAGUUAAAAAGCUCGUAGUCGGAUUUUGGCUGAGAACGAUCGGUCCGCCGUUAGGUGUGCACUGAUUGGUCUCAGCUUCCUGGUGAGGAGGUGUGCUUCACGGCCACUUAGUCACCGUGGUUACUUUGAAAAAAUUAGAGUGUUCAAAGCGGGCUUACGCUUGAAUAUAUUAGCAUGGAAUAACACCAUAGGACUCCUGUCCUAUUUCGUUGGUCUCGGGACGGAAGUAAUGAUUAAGAGGAACAGUUGGGGGCAUUCGUAUUUCAUUGUCAGAGGUGAAAUUCUUGGAUUUAUGAAAGACGAACUUCUGCGAAAGCAUUUGCCAAGGAUGUUUUCAUUGA